RNAcentral lists this ribosomal RNA (372 nucleotides) under uncultured organism. RNAcentral describes it as "bacterial SSU rRNA". It matches the Rfam family "Bacterial small subunit ribosomal RNA", at positions 526 to 896 of the family's 1533-position model. The record is from RNAcentral.
CAGGGGGUGCAAACGUUGCUCGGAAUUAUUGGGCGUAAAGCGCGCGUAGGCGGUCAUUUAUGUCGGAUGUGAAAGCCCUUGGCUCAACUGAGGAAGUGCAUCCGAAACUGAAUGGCUUGAGUACCAAAGAGGGUCGCGGAAUUCCCGGUGUAGAGGUGAAAUUCGUAGAUAUCGGGAGGAACACCGGUGGCGAAGGCGGCGACCUGGGUGGAAACUGACGCUGAGGCGCGAAAGCGUGGGGAGCAAACAGGAUUAGAUACCCUGGUAGUCCACGCCGUAAACGAUGGGUGCUAGAUGUUUCUGGUAUUGACCCCGGAAGCGUCGAAGCUAACGCGUUAAGCACCCCGCCUGGGGAGUACGGCCGCAAGGCUA